GUUGAACGCUGGCGGCAGGCCUAACACAUGCAAGUCGAACGAGUGGCGGACGGGUGAGUAAUGUCUGGGAAACUGCCAGAUGGAGGGGGCUAACUACUGGAAACGGUAGCUAAUACCGCAAACGAUCGGAUGUGCACAGCUGGGAUUAGCGAGUCGGUGGGGUAACGGCUCACCUAGGCGACGAUGCCUAGCUGGUCUGAGAGGAUGACCAGCAACACUGGGACUGAGACACGGUCCAGACUCCGACGGGAGUCAGCAGUGGGGAAUAUUGCACAAUGGGCGCAAGCCUGAUGCAGCCAUGCCGCGUGGAGGAAGAAGGCAUUCGGGUUGUAAAGUACUGUCGGCGGGGAGGCGUUACUCGCAGAAGAAGCCCCGGCUAACUCCGUGCCAGCCGCCGCGGUAAUUC
Molecule: ribosomal RNA, 406 nt
Filed under: uncultured bacterium
Lineage: Bacteria
Description: partial 16S ribosomal RNA
Rfam family: Bacterial small subunit ribosomal RNA
Source: RNAcentral